This 395-nucleotide ribosomal RNA is filed under the name uncultured bacterium. Its description in RNAcentral is "partial 16S ribosomal RNA". It matches the Rfam family "Bacterial small subunit ribosomal RNA", at positions 338 to 729 of the family's 1533-position model. The record is from RNAcentral.
CCUACGGGAGGCAGCAGUGAGGAAUAUUGGUCAAUGGACGCAAGUCUGAACCAGCCAUGCCGCGUGCAGGAUGACGGCUCUAUGAGUUGUAAACCGCUUUUGUCCGAGGGUAAACCCUGAUACGCGUACCGGGUUGAGUGUACCGUACGAAUAAGCAUCGGCUAACUCCGUGCCAGCAGCCGCGGUAAUACGGAGGAUCCGAGCGUUAUCCGGAUUUAUUGGGUUUAAAGGGUGCGUAGGCGGUUUGAUAAGUCAGAGGUGAAAUGGCGGGGCUCAACGGGGUGAAGUGCCGUUGAUACUGGCAUGCUGGAGUGGGAGAGACGUAGGAGGAAUGUGUGGUGUAGCGGUGAAAUGCAUAGAUAUCGCGCAGAACACCGAUUGCGAAGGCAGCACGC